UACGUAGGGUGCGAGCGUUGUCCGGAAUUAUUGGGCGUAAAGAGCUUGUAGGCGGUUUGUCGCGUCUGCUGUGAAAAUCCGGGGCUCAACCCCGGACUUGCAGUGGGUACGGGCAGGCUAGAGUGUGGUAGGGGAGACUGGAAUUCCUGGUGUAGCGGUGGAAUGCGCAGAUAUCGGGAGGAACACCGAUGGCGAAGGCAGGUCUCUGGGCCACUACUGACGCUGAGAAGCGAAAGCAUGGGGAGCGAACAGG
RNAcentral lists this ribosomal RNA (253 nucleotides) under uncultured bacterium. Its description in RNAcentral is "partial 16S ribosomal RNA". It matches the Rfam family "Bacterial small subunit ribosomal RNA", at positions 524 to 776 of the family's 1533-position model. The record is from RNAcentral.